CAGGUAGUAACAGAGGGUUUGAUCAUGGCUCAGAUUGAACGCUGGCGGGAUGCUUUACACAAGCAAGUCGAACGGCAGCACGGACUUCGGUCUGGUGGCGAGUGGCGAACGGGUGAGUAAUGUAUCGGAACGUGCCUAGUAGCGGGGAUAACUACGCGAAAAGGGCUAAUACCGUAUACGCCUUUCGGGAAAGCGGGGGACCUUCGCCUCGCACUAUUAGGAGCGGCCGAUAUCGGAUUAGCUAGUUGGUGGGGUAACGGCUCACCAAGGCGACGAUCCGCAGCUGGUUUGAGAGGACGACCAGCCACACUGGGACUGAGACACGGCCCAGACUCCUACGGGAGGCAGCAGUGGGGAAUUUUGGACAAUGGGGGGAAACCCUGAUCCAGCCAUCCCGCGUGUGCGAUGAAGGCCUUCGGGUUGUAAAGCACUUUUGGCAGGAAAGAAACGGCACGGGAUAAUACCCCGUGCAACUGACGGUACCUGCAGAAGCACCGGCGACCACGCCAGCAGCCGCGGUAACAUAGGUGCAAGCGUUAAUCGGAAUUUACGGGCGUAAGCGUGCAGGCGGUUCGGAAAGAAAGAUGUGAAAUCCCAGAGCUUAACUUUGGAACUGCAUUUUUGAACUACCGAGCUAGAGUGUGUCAGAGGGAGGUGGAAUUCCAGCGUGGCAGUGAAAUGUGGUAGAUAUGCGGAGGAACACCGAUGGCGAAGGCAGCCUCCUUCGGGAUAACACUGACGCUCAUGCACGAAAGUGGGAGCAAACAUAGAUUAGAUACCUGGUAGUCCACGCCCUAAACGAUGUCAACUAGCUGUUGGGGCCUUUCGCCUGGUAGCAGCUAAUGGUGCGUGAAGUUAACGCCCAGAGUACGGCUCAAAGAUUAAAACCCGAAGCGAAUUGAUUUGGACCGCACAAGCGGUGGAUAUGUGGAUUAAUUUGAUGCAACGCGAAAACCUUACCUACCCUUGACAUGUCUGGAAUCCUGAAGAGACGGGAGUGCUCGCAAGAGAACCGAACACAGGUGCUGGCAUGGCUGUCGUCGCCGUGUCGGUGAUGUUGGGUUAAGUCCCGCAACGAGCGCAACCCUUGUCAUUAGUUGUUGCGCGCACUCUAAUGACUGCCGGUGACAAACCGGAGGAAGGUGGGGAUGACGUCAAGUCCUCAUGGCCCUUAUGGUAGGGCUUCACACGUCAUACAAUGGUCGGGACAGAGGGUCGCCAACCUGCGAGGGGAGCCAAUCCUGAGAAACCGAUCAACCGGACCGCAGUCUGCAACUCGACUGCGUGAAGUCGGAAUCGCUAGUAAUCGCGGAUCAGCAUGUCGCGGUGAAUACGUUCCGGCCUGUACACACCGCCCGUCACACCAUGGGAGUGGGUUUUACCAGAAGUAGUUAGCUUAACCGGCAGAGGGCGAUUACCACGGUAGGAUUCAUGAUCAGGGUGAAGUCGUAACAAGGUAG
RNAcentral lists this ribosomal RNA (1460 nucleotides) under uncultured Bordetella sp. Its description in RNAcentral is "partial 16S-23S ribosomal RNA intergenic spacer". It matches the Rfam family "Bacterial small subunit ribosomal RNA". The record is from RNAcentral. Lineage: Bacteria; Pseudomonadati; Pseudomonadota; Betaproteobacteria; Burkholderiales; Alcaligenaceae.